AUGUCAAAAUUGGAGUUGAAGGAGAGCUUAGAGAAGAUAGAAAGUGCUAUAAGCGAUGCAUGUAAAGUUUUGGAACAACUGAACUUGCUAGGUGUAAGUAAUGAUAAUGGGAGACGAGCUAUUGCUACCAAUUCACGCAGUACAGUCAUUACUGCAGGUCCUCCGACACGAGUAAUUGGCCGGGAUGAGGAUCGUGACAAGAUCAUAGCAAUGCUUAAUGAGAACGAAGACCAAUGCCAAACAAAUACUGUCAAUGUAACUUGCUAUUCCGUAAUUGGCAUUCAUGGUAUUGCCGGGUCUGGGAAAUCAACACUUGCACAAUAUGUUUAUGAACAUGAGAAAAAGUACAAGCAAGAUAAAAUGGAAGGCCAUUUUGAUAUUGUUAUGUGGAUUCAUGUUUCUCAGAAAUUUGAUUUGGACUCCAUUUUCAGAGAGAUGUUUGAGGGGGCUACAGGGAAAGCAUGCGAAAACUUCAAUAGUCGUAACGUCUUAAAGGAAAAACUGGAGGAUGAACUGCGUGGAAAACAGAUUUUGUUGGUACUGGAUGAUGUCUGGUACAACAUUAAGAAUUCGGGAGAUCGUGAAGAGCUACAAAAGUUGAUUUCUCCUCUGAAUGUUGGAAAGGUGGGAAGCAAAAUCUUGGUGACUAGUCGAACUGAAGCCGCAUUAGUAACUCUGGGUGCUGUAAAAGAGCGAUGCAUUCCAAUAUCUGACUUGGAUGAUAAAGUGUUCCUUGAAAUGUUCAUGCAUUAUGCACUUAGAGAUGCAAGGGUAAGUGAACAUGAUCGAAGAAUACUUGAAAUGAUCGGAGAGGACAUUGCCAAAAAGCUGAAGGGAUCACCUCUAGCAGCCAGAGCAGUGGGAUCACGGCUCCGUGAGACACAAACUGUUGAGUUCUGGAGGAGUCAGAAAGAUCGGGACCUUCUGAAUGACACAAUGGGAGCCCUGUGGUGGAGCUACCAAUAUCUUGAUGAGCAGGUCAGGCGAUGCUUUGCUUACUGCAGUAUUUUCCCUAGGCGACAUCGUUUGAAACGUGAUGAGUUAGUUAAGUUGUGGGUAGCAGAAGGGUUUAUAAAGACUAGUAAGGCUGAAGAGGAAAUGGAAGAUGUUGCUAAGAAUUAUUUUGAUGAAUUGCUGUCGGCCUCAUUUCUGCAAUUAGGAGGGAAAGAUAAGUUAUUUGAACAUGAGGUCGAUUACUUUACAAUUCAUGAUCUGUUGUGUGAUUUAGCAGAGGAGGUUGCCGGAAGAGAUUGCUUCAGGAUCGAGAAAGGCUGCACAGGAGAAGUUCCUAAAGAUGUUCGGUAUCUUUUUGUUGGGACUUAUGAUAGAGAGAUGCUUACUAAGAAGAUAUCUGGACUGCAAAAUUUACGCACUCUCAUCAUCGAUGCUCACAUAGAGGUUAAAUCAAAUGAGUGCCAAGUCUUUGCGAGUAUGUUCACUACGUUCAUGGGGCUGCGGAAAUUGCGCGUACUGAAUUUAUGUCUCAUUGAAACUGGUCGCUGCACGUUCUCAUUCCCGGAUUCUAUUGGUCAGUUGAAGCAUCUGCGUUAUUUUCAUUUUUGGGUGACUGCACUUACCAGGCUCACGGUACCGGCUGCUUUUAUGAAGCUUUACCACAUACAGGUGGUAGAUUUUGGUGGUUGUCAAGAUUUGGUGUUUUCUAGUAGUGAAGAUAUGAUUAGCCUUGUCAACUUGCGCUGUGUAAUCAGUGGGGCAGAUCUGGAUUUUCCGGAAGUAGGCAGGCUCAUAUGGCUCCAAAUGUUACCGUUAUUCACGAUAAGGAAGGAACAGGGGUAUGAGCCACAUCAGCUGAAACACCUAAACAAGCUUCAACGCACGCUGUAUAUCCGCGGUCUUGAGAAUGUUGAGAGCAAGGAGGAGGCUCUUCAAGUCAAUCUUGCAGCCAAGGAAAAACUCACAGAACUUGUACUUCAAUGGAAAAGGGAGAGCUGCAGUCCAGAAGUUCAAGCAGAGGUACUUGAGGGUCUUUGCCCAUCGAAGUAUCUUGAAAUACUGGAAAUCAGAAAUUACCUUGCUUCGGGGUUACCGAAUUGGAUUGUGGGUAUGCAUAGCGGCUCCCCAAAGAACCUGCAAGAACUUAUCUUCCGGAACUGUGGCCAGCGGGGACCUGCUGGUGACCUUGGAGCUUUCGUUUAUCUUCUUUCGCUAUGUCUUGUUGAAUGCAGCUGGGAUGCAUUACCAGGUAAUAUGGAUCAUCUCACAUCGCUCAAGAAAUUGGAGAUCACAGUUUGCAUGAAUAUACGGUCGCUUCCAACACUGCCUAUGUCUCUUGAGGAGUUUACACUCAUGUACUGCAAUCGCGAGUUCAUGCGAUCUUGUACGACGGCUGCUGAUCCAAAUUGGCAAAAGAUUGAGCACAUUCCAAAGAAAACAAUUAUAGGUUCUUGA
This 2409-nucleotide ribosomal RNA is filed under the name Triticum aestivum (bread wheat). RNAcentral describes it as "partial small subunit ribosomal RNA". Lineage: Eukaryota; Viridiplantae; Streptophyta; Magnoliopsida; Poales; Poaceae. The record is from RNAcentral.